This 857-nucleotide ribosomal RNA is filed under the name uncultured Neocallimastigales. RNAcentral's name for it is "partial large subunit ribosomal RNA". It matches the Rfam family "Eukaryotic large subunit ribosomal RNA", at positions 26 to 776 of the family's 3401-position model. Lineage: Eukaryota; Fungi; Neocallimastigomycota; Neocallimastigomycetes; Neocallimastigales. The record is from RNAcentral.
CGCAUCUGUGCAUGCAGCAUAUCAAUAAGCGGAGGAAAAGAAACUAACAAGGAUUCCCUUAGUAACGGCGAGUGAAGCGGGAAGAGCUCAAAUUUGAAAUCUUCAAGGUUUUACCUUGACGAAUUGUAGUUUAAAGAAGUGUUUUCUGUUGAAGUUUUGGUAAAAGUUCUUUGGAAUAGGACAUCAUAGAGGGUGAGAAUCCCGUAUUUGACCAUUAUUUUCAGCUGUGUGAUACACUUUCAAAGAGUCGGAUUGUUUGGGAAUGCAGUCCAAAAUGGGUGGUAAAUUUCAUCUAAAGCUAAAUAUUGGCGAGAGACCGAUAGCGAACAAGUACCGUGAGGGAAAGAUGAAAAGAACUUUGAAAAGAGAGUUAAACAGUACGUGAAAUUGUCAAAAGGGAAGCGUUUGACACCAGUGUUGUUUUCUCGAAAAUCAAUUAAAAAGAGUUAGAUUUUGUUGUGUAUUGACCUUAACAGCUUGCAUUUCAAUUUUCUUGCUUUUUUUAAUGCACUUUUCGUUUAACAAGUCAACAUCAGUUUCUUUUGUUGUAAAAAGGUCAUUGGAAGGUGGCUUUCUUUUCGGAGAAAGUGUUUAUAGCCUUUGACUCCUGCAAUCGGAGAGACUGAGGUCUGCAGCGUAGAUCCUUCGGGGUUAGAUACAUGUGUGCUAAGUUAUAGCUUUUUAUAGACAACUUGUUGACUAUGAUUAGUCUUGUAGCUUACUCGCUUAUGCUAUUUUACCUACGCUUAGGAUGUUGACGCGCGUGUGUGCGUGAGUCUAUACAUGACUCUGCGUAUAUCAAUAAGCGGAGGAAAAGUCAAUACCUACGCUUAGGAUGUUGACGCGCGUGUGUGCGU